GAAAGUAAGCAAGGGCAGACGGUGGAUGCCUUGGCUCUCGGAGGCGAUGAAGGACGUGAUAAGCUGCGAUAAGCUUGGGGUAGGUGCAAAUAACCUUUGAUCCCAAGAUUUCCGAAUGGGGCAACCCGGCUGGUAGAAGGCCAGUCAUUCCGUAAGGAAGGCGAACGUGGGGAACUGAAACAUCUAAGUACCCAUAGGAGAAGAAAACAAAAGUGAUUCCGCAAGUAGUGGCGAGCGAACGCGGAACAGCCCAAACCGAUGAUGUUUAGGCAUUGUCGGGGUAGUAGGACCACGUUGUGGCAAGAGAUUAAGGAAGUAGAACGUUUUGGAACAAACGGCCGUAGACGGUGAAAGCCCAGUAUACGACUCUUUAACGAAGCCUAGUGGAAUCCUGAGUAGCGCGGAGCACGAGAAAUUCUGUGUGAAUCAGCGGGGCCCAUCCCGUAAGGCUAAAUACUCCCGAGAGACCGAUAGCGAACCAGUACUGUGAAGGAAAGGUGAAAAGCACCUCGAACAGAGGAGUGAAAUAGUCCCUGAAACCGUCUGCCUACAAGCGGUCGGAGCAACGUAAGUUGUGACGGCGUGCCUUUUGCAUAAUGAACCUACGAGUUACUUUCUCCGGCAAGGUUAAGGGCUUCAGGCCCGGAGCCGAAGCGAAAGCGAGUCUUAAUAGGGCGUGAUAGUCGGAGUGAGUAGACGCGAAACCAAGUGAUCUACCCUUGGUCAGGAUGAAGGUUGGGUAACACCAACUGGAGGUCCGAAUGGGUAUACGUUGAAAAGUGUUCCAAUGAACUGAGGGUAGGGGUGAAAGGCUAAUCAAACUUGGAGAUAGCUCGUACUCCCCGAAAUGCAUUUAGGUGCAGCCUUGCGGGUUACUGAUGUGAGGUAGAGCGACUGAUAAGAUGCGAGGGCUUCACCGCCUAUCAAGUCCAGAUAAACUCCGAAUGCGUGCUAUAUAUUGAUAAGGAGUGAGGGCGCGGGUGCUAAGGUCCGCGUCCGAGAGGAGAAGAAUCCAGACCAUCAGCUAAGGUCCCCAAAUAACAGUUAAGUUGAACUAACGAAGUCGGACUGCAGAGACAGCUAGGAUGUUGGCUUGGAAGCAGCCAUUCAUUUAAAGAGUGCGUAACAGCUCACUAGUCGAGGAGUCCGGCGUGGAUAAUACUCGGGCAUAAACUGUUUACCGAAGCUAUGGAUGUAGAAAUACAUGGUAGGGGAGCAUUCCAACGGCGUCGAAGGUGAAGGAUGACCUUUGCUGGAGCUUUUGGAAACGCAAAUGUAGGUAUAAGUAACGAUAAAGGAGGUGAGAAACCUCCUCGCCGAAAGACUAAGGUUUCCUGAUCAACGUUAAUCGGAUCAGGGUAAGUCGGGACCUAAGGUUAAGCCGAACGGCGAUACCGAUGGAAGAAUGGUUUAAUAUUCCCAUACUACUUUAUGGAGCGAUGUGGAGACGGAGAAGUGAAAGUCCUGCCAUCUGACGGAAUAGGUGGUUGAAGAGUGUAGAUGUAGAUUCCUGUAGGCAAAUCCGCAGGGAGAGUCGACCUUGACAGUAUGCCGCGUGCUUGCACAAGGCAAAAUGGACGUAAUCAGGCUCCCAAGAAAAUCCGCUAAGCAUAUUCAUAAAGUACCCGUACCGUAAACGGACACACGUAGUUGGGUUGAAAAUACUGAGGCGCUCGAGUGAUUCACGGUUAAGGAACUAGGCAAAUUGACCCUGUAACUUCGGGAUAAAGGGUCCCUACUGAGAGGUAGGGCGCAGAGAAUAGGUCCAGGCAACUGUUUAACAAAAACACAUGGCUGUGCGAAAUAGAAAUAUGAAGUAUACAGCCUGACACCUGCCCGGUGCUGGAAGGUUAAGAGGAGAGCUCAUCGCAAGAGAAGGCUUGAAUUGAAGCCCCAGUAAACGGCGGCCGUAACUAUAACGGUCCUAAGGUAGCGAAAUUCCUUGUCGGGUAAGUUC
RNAcentral lists this ribosomal RNA (1957 nucleotides) under human gut metagenome. RNAcentral's name for it is "bacterial LSU rRNA". It matches the Rfam family "Bacterial large subunit ribosomal RNA", at positions 1 to 1983 of the family's 2925-position model. The record is from RNAcentral.